GCUGAGCUGGAAAGAGGAUAAGCUGCCAUUUAUCCAGCAAAAACAUGAAUGGGUACACUUCAAGAGAAGACAUUACUCUUCUAGAGCUUUUCUCUGGUACAUAUGCACGAUCUUAUCACUUAUGGGUGAACACAUGACAAGCUUAUUCAAUUUUAAACAAGAUAA
Long non-coding RNA from Talpa occidentalis (Iberian mole), 165 nucleotides. RefSeq lists it as uncharacterized. The record is from RefSeq and is a predicted model, not a curated record. The transcript has 3 exons. Lineage: Eukaryota; Metazoa; Chordata; Mammalia; Eulipotyphla; Talpidae.